AACGAACGCUGGCGGCAGGCCUAACACAUGCAAGUCGAGCGAGGACUUCGGUCCUAGCGGCGGACGGGUGAGUAACGCGUGGGAACGUGCCCUUUGCUUCGGAAUAGCCCUGGGAAACUGGGAGUAAUACCGGAUGAGCCCUUUGGGGGAAAGAUUUAUCGGCGAAGGAUCGGCCCGCGUUGGAUUAGGUAGUUGGUGGGGUAAUGGCCUACCAAGCCGACGAUCCAUAGCUGGUUUGAGAGGAUGAUCAGCCACACUGGGACUGAGACACGGCCCAGACUCCUACGGGAAGCAGCAGUGGGGAAUCUUAGACAAUGGGGGAAACCCUGAUCGAGCCAUGCCGCGUGAGCGAUGAAGGCCUUAGGGUUGUAAAGCUCUUUCAGCUGGGAAGAUAAUGACGGUACCAGCAGAAGAAGCCCCGGCUAACUCCGUG
Molecule: ribosomal RNA, 433 nt
Filed under: uncultured bacterium
Lineage: Bacteria
Description: partial 16S ribosomal RNA
Rfam family: Bacterial small subunit ribosomal RNA
Source: RNAcentral